AAUUACUGACACUGCAAUCUAACUCAAAAGGAGUAAAAGAUUCCUUAUUUUUCUUUAGCGGAUCCAACUCAACAUUUGUUCUUCCAGCGUCGUACUCAUAGAUACCUAACCUUGAAGGUACUGGAAAAGUAGGGCUCCAUUCCAUUGAGUCAUCUGCAGAGGACCUUUUUAGCUGGUCUGCGGAUGGUUCUCGUUUAUCCCA
RNAcentral lists this unclassified non-coding RNA (202 nucleotides) under Hevea brasiliensis (rubber tree). The record is from RNAcentral. Lineage: Eukaryota; Viridiplantae; Streptophyta; Magnoliopsida; Malpighiales; Euphorbiaceae.